This 319-nucleotide ribosomal RNA is filed under the name Amblyomma humerale. RNAcentral's name for it is "partial large subunit ribosomal RNA". The stretch from base 195 to 319 matches the Rfam family "Bacterial large subunit ribosomal RNA", at positions 2473 to 2598 of the family's 2925-position model. The record is from RNAcentral. Lineage: Eukaryota; Metazoa; Arthropoda; Arachnida; Ixodida; Ixodidae.
UUUAAAUUAUUUUUGUUUGUGAAGAAACAACAAUAACAAUUAAGGACAAGAAGACCCUAAGAAUUUUUAAUUAAUGAUUACUAACUUAAAUAAAUAAUUAUUAAUUUUAAUUGGGGUGAUUAAUAAAAAUUAAAAACUUUAUUAUAAAAUAAUAUGAACCAUUAAUAAUGGUUUUUUGAAAAAAAUACUCUAGGGAUAACAGCGUAAUAAUUUUUAAUAGUUCAUAUAGACAAAAUAGUUUGCGACCUCGAUGUUGGAUUAGGAUUCUUAUUUAAUGCAGAAGUUANAUAAAGAAGUUUGUUCAACUUUUAAAAUCCUA